Molecule: ribosomal RNA, 497 nt
Filed under: uncultured bacterium
Lineage: Bacteria
Description: partial 16S ribosomal RNA
Rfam family: Bacterial small subunit ribosomal RNA
Source: RNAcentral
GAUGAACGCUGGCGGCGUGCCUAAUACAUGCAAGUCGAGCGAACAGACGAGGAGCUUGCUCCUUUGACGUUAGCGGCGGACGGGUGAGUAACACGUGGAUAACCUACCUAUAAGACUGGGGUAACUUCGGGAAACCGGAGCUAAUACCGGAUAACAUGUUGAACCGCAUGGUUCAACAGUGAAAGACGGUCUUGCUGUCACUUAUAGAUGGAUCCGCGCCGCAUUAGCUAGUUGGUAAGGUAACGGCUUACCAAGGCAACGAUGCGUAGCCGACCUGAGAGGGUGAUCGGCCACACUGGAACUGAGACACGGUCCAGACUCCUACGGGAGGCAGCAGUAGGGAAUCUUCCGCAAUGGGCGAAAGCCUGACGGAGCAACGCCGCGUGAGUGAAGAAGGUCUUCGGAUCGUAAAACUCUGUUAUUAGGGAAGAACAAAUGUGUAAGUAACUAUGCACGUCUUGACGGUACCUAAUCAGAAAGCCACGGCUAACUACGUG